Molecule: ribosomal RNA, 468 nt
Filed under: uncultured bacterium
Lineage: Bacteria
Description: partial 16S ribosomal RNA
Rfam family: Bacterial small subunit ribosomal RNA
Source: RNAcentral
GACGAACGCUGGCGGCGUGCUUAACACAUGCAAGUCGAACGGAAAGGCCCUGCUUUUGUGGGGUGCUCGAGUGGCGAACGGGUGAGUAACACGUGAGUAACCUGCCCUUGACUUUGGGAUAACUUCAGGAAACUGGGGCUAAUACCGGAUAGGAGCUCCUGCUGCAUGGUGGGGGUUGGAAAGUUUCGGCGGUUGGGGAUGGACUCGCGGCUUCUCGGCUUGUCGGUGGGGUAGUGGCUUACCAAGGCUUUGACGGGUAGCCGGCCUGAGGGGGUGACCGGCGGCAUUGGGACUGAGAUACGGCCCAGAGUCCUACGGGAGGCAGCAGUGGGGAAGAUUGCGCAAUGGGCGGAAGCCUGAUGCAGCAACGCCGCGUGCGGGAUGACGGCCUUCGGGUUGUAAACCGCUUUCGCCUGUGACGAAGCGUGAGUGACGGUAAUGGGUAAAGAAGCACCGGCUAACUACGUG